Molecule: ribosomal RNA, 275 nt
Filed under: uncultured bacterium
Lineage: Bacteria
Description: partial 16S ribosomal RNA
Rfam family: Bacterial small subunit ribosomal RNA
Source: RNAcentral
CUAAGUUUGAUGGCGACCGGCGCACGGGUGAGUAACACGUAUCCAACCUGCCGAUGACUCGGGGAUAGCCUUUCGAAAGAAAGAUUAAUACCCGAUGGCAUAGUUCUUCCGCAUGGUGGAACUAUUAAAGAAUUUCGGCCAUCGAUGGGGAUGCGUUCCAUUAGGUUGUUGGCGGGGUAACGGCCCACCAAGCCUUCGAUGGAUAGGGGUUCUGAGAGGAAGGUCCCCCACAUUGGAACUGAGACACGGUCCAAACUCCUACGGGAGGCAGCAUG